UGCAGUCGAACGAUGAAGCCUAGCUUGCUGGGUGGAUUAGUGGCGAACGGGUGAGUAACACGUGAGUAACCUGCCCUUGACUCUGGGAUAAGCACUGGAAACGGUGUCUAAUACCGGAUAUUUCAGCUGGCCGCAUGGUCUGGUUGUGGAAAGAAUUUUGGUCAAGGAUGGACUCGCGGCCUAUCAGGUUGUUGGUGAGGUAAUGGCUCACCAAGCCUACGACGGGUAGCCGGCCUGAGAGGGUGACCGGCCACACUGGGACUGAGACACGGCCCAGACUCCUACGGGAGGCAGCAGUGGGGAAUAUUGCACAAUGGGCGAAAGCCUGAUGCAGCAACGCCGCGUGAGGGACGACGGCCUUCGGGUUGUAAACCUCUUUUAGUAGGGAAGAAGCGAAAGUGACGGUACCUGCAGAAAAAGCACCGGCUAACUACGUGCCAGCAGCCGCGGUAAUACGUAGGGUGCAAGCGUUGUCCGGAAUUAUUGGGCGUAAAGAGCUCGUAGGCGGUUUGUCGCGUCUGCUGUGAAAACUGGAGGCUCAACCUCCAGCCUGCAGUGGGUACGGGCAGACUAGAGUGCGGUAGGGGAGAUUGGAAUUCCUGGUGUAGCGGUGGAAUGCGCAGAUAUCAGGAGGAACACCGAUGGCGAAGGCAGAUCUCUGGGCCGUAACUGACGCUGAGGAGCGAAAGCAUGGGGAGCGAACAGGAUUAGAUACCCUGGUAGUCCAUGCCGUAAACGUUGGGAACUAGAUGUGGGGGCCAUUCCACGGUCUCCGUGUCGCAGCUAACGCAUUAAGUUCCCCGCCUGGGGAGUACGGCCGCAAGGCUAAAACUCAAAGGAAUUGACGGGG
Molecule: ribosomal RNA, 850 nt
Filed under: Agreia sp. 1056G84
Lineage: Bacteria; Bacillati; Actinomycetota; Actinomycetes; Micrococcales; Microbacteriaceae
Description: bacterial SSU rRNA
Rfam family: Bacterial small subunit ribosomal RNA
Source: RNAcentral